UGGGGAAUUUUGGACAAUGGGCGAAAGCCUGAUCCAGCAAUGCCGCGUGUGUGAAGAAGGCCUUCGGGUUGUAAAGCACUUUUGUCCGGAAAGAAAUCCUUGGCUCUAAUACAGUCGGGGGAUGACGGUACCGGAAGAAUAAGCACCGGCUAACUACGUGCCAGCAGCCGCGGUAAUACGUAGGGUGCAAGCGUUAAUCGGAAUUACUGGGCGUAAAGCGUGCGCAGGCGGUUUGCUAAGACCGAUGUGAAAUCCCCGGGCUCAACCUGGGAACUGCAUUGGUGACUGGCAGGCUAGAGUAUGGCAGAGGGGGGUAGAAUUCCACGUGUAGCAGUGAAAUGCGUAGAGAUGUGGAGGAAUACCGAUGGCGAAGGCAGCCCCCUGGGCCAAUACUGACGCUCAUGCACGAAAGCGUGGGGAGCAAACAGGAUUAGAUACCCUGGUAGUCCACGCCCUAAAACGAUGUCAACUAGUUGUUGGGGAUUCAUUUCCUUAGUAACGUAGCUAACGCGUGAAGUUGACCGCCUGGGGAGUACGGUCGCAAGAUUAAAACUCAAAUGAAUUGACGGGGUCAUAGCUGUUU
Molecule: ribosomal RNA, 583 nt
Filed under: uncultured bacterium
Lineage: Bacteria
Description: partial 16S ribosomal RNA
Rfam family: Bacterial small subunit ribosomal RNA
Source: RNAcentral